GACGAACGCUGGCGGCGUGCUUAACACAUGCAAGUCGAACGGAAAGGCCCUGCUUUUGUGGGGUGCUCGAGUGGCGAACGGGUGAGUAACACGUGAGUAACCUGCCCUUGACUUUGGGAUAACUUCAGGAAACUGGGGCUAAUACCGGAUAGGAGCUCCUGCUGCAUGGUGGGGGUUGGAAAGUUUCGGCGGUUGGGGAUGGACUCGCGGCUUAUCAGCUUGUUGGUGGGGUAGUGGCUUACCAAGGCUUUGACGGGUAGCCGGCCUGAGAGGGUGACCGGACACAUUGGGACUGAGAUGCGGCCCAGACUCCUACGGGAGGCAGCAGUGGGGAAUAUUGCACAAUGGGCGGAAGCCUGAUGCAGCAAAGCCGCGUGCGGGAUGACGGCCUUCGGGUUGUAAACCGCUUUCGCCUGUGACGAAGCGUGAGUGACGGUAAUGGGUAAAGAAGCACCGGCUAACUACGUG
RNAcentral lists this ribosomal RNA (468 nucleotides) under uncultured bacterium. Its description in RNAcentral is "partial 16S ribosomal RNA". It matches the Rfam family "Bacterial small subunit ribosomal RNA", at positions 28 to 507 of the family's 1533-position model. The record is from RNAcentral.